RNAcentral lists this ribosomal RNA (253 nucleotides) under uncultured bacterium. Its description in RNAcentral is "partial 16S ribosomal RNA". It matches the Rfam family "Bacterial small subunit ribosomal RNA", at positions 524 to 776 of the family's 1533-position model. The record is from RNAcentral.
UACGUAGGGUGCAAGCGUUGUCCGGAAUUAUUGGGCGUAAAGAGCUCGUAGGCGGUUUGUUGCGUCGGCUGUGAAAUCCCGAGGCUCAACCUCGGGUCUGCAGUCGAUACGAGCAAACUAGAGUGUUGCAGGGGAGACUGGAAUUCCUGGUAUAGCGGUGAAAUGCGCAGAUAUCAGGAGGAACACCGGUGGCGAAGGCGGGUCUCUGGGCUGACACUGACGCUCAUGCACGAAAGCGUGGGGAGCAAACAGG